Molecule: ribosomal RNA, 785 nt
Filed under: uncultured Glomus
Lineage: Eukaryota; Fungi; Glomeromycota; Glomeromycetes; Glomerales; Glomeraceae
Description: SSU rRNA
Rfam family: Eukaryotic small subunit ribosomal RNA
Source: RNAcentral
AUGGUAGGAUAGAGGCCUACCAUGGUGGUAACGGGUAACGGGGCGUUAGGGCACGACACCGGAGAGGGAGCCUGAGAAACGGCUACCACAUCCAAGGAAGGCAGCAGGCGCGCAAAUUACCCAAUCCCGACACGGGGAGGUAGUGACAAUAAAUAACAAUACAGGGUUCUUUGAAUCUUGUAAUUGGAAUGAGUACAAUUUAAAUCUCUUAACGAGGAACAAUUGGAGGGCAAGUCUGGUGCCAGCAGCCGCGGUAAUUCCAGCUCCAAUAGCGUAUAUUAAAGUUGUUGCAGUUAAAAAGCUCGUAGUUGAAUUUCGGGAUCAAUACGUCGGUCGUGCUUUCGGGAACGUACUGGCGUCAUUGGUUUCUCCUUUCUGACGAACCAUGAUGUCAUUAAUCUGGUGUUAUGGGGAGUUAGGACUGUUACUUUGAAAAAAUUAGAGUGUUUAAAGCAGGCAUUAGCUUGAAUACAUUAGCAUGGAAUAAUGAAAUAGGACGUUCGAUCCUAUUUUGUUGGUUUCUAGGAUCAACGUAAUGAUUAAUAGGGAUAGUUGGGGGCAUUAGUAUUCAAUUGUCAGAGGUGAAAUUCUUGGAUUUAUUGAAGACUAACUACUGCGAAAGCAUUUGCCAAGGAUGUUUUCAUUAAUCAAGAACGAAAGUUAGGGGAUCGAAGACGAUCAGAUACCGUCGUAGUCUUAACCAUAAACUAUGCCGACUAGGGAUCGGAUGAUGUUAAUUUUUUAAUGACUCAUUCGGCGCCUUACGGGAAACCAAAGUGUUUGGG